This 30-nucleotide non-coding RNA is filed under the name Mus musculus (house mouse). The record is from RNAcentral. Lineage: Eukaryota; Metazoa; Chordata; Mammalia; Rodentia; Muridae.
UCCCAGAACUGGCACUGCUUAAAUAGGCCU